This 497-nucleotide ribosomal RNA is filed under the name uncultured bacterium. Its description in RNAcentral is "partial 16S ribosomal RNA". It matches the Rfam family "Bacterial small subunit ribosomal RNA", at positions 28 to 507 of the family's 1533-position model. The record is from RNAcentral.
GAUGAACGCUGGCGGCGUGCCUAAUACAUGCAAGUCGAGCGAACGGACGAGAAGCUUGCUUCUCUGAUGUUAGCGGCGGACGGGUGAGUAACACGUGGAUAACCUACCUAUAAGACUGGGAUAACUUCGGGAAACCGGAGCUAAUACCGGAUGAUAUUUUGAACCGCAUGGUUCAAAAGUGAAAGACGGUCUUGCUGUCACUUAUAGAUGGAUCCGCGCUGCAUUAGCUAGUUGGUAAGGUAACGGCUUACCAAGGCAACGAUGCAUAGCCGACCUGAGAGGGUGAUCGGCCACACUGGAACUGAGACACGGUCCAGGCUCCUACGGGAGGCAGCAGUAGGGAAUCUUCCGCAAUGGGCGAGAGCCUGACGGAGCAACGCCGCGUGAGUGAUGAAGGUCUUCGGAUCGUAAAACUCUGUUAUUAGGGAAGAACAUAUGUGUAAGUAACUGUGCACAUCUUGACGGUACCUAAUCAGAAAGCCACGGCUAACUACGUG